UUCUGGCUCAGGAUGAACGCUAGCGGCAGGCUUAACACAUGCAAGGUCGAGGGGCAGCGCGAGGUAGCAAUACUUGGCGGCGACCGGCGCAAGGGUGCGUAACGCGUGAGCAACAUGCCCGUAUCAGGGGGAUAAUCCAGGGAAACUUGGUCUAAUACCCCAUAGUAAUUUUGUAAGGCAUCUUAUAAGAUUUAAAGCUUUGGUGGAUACGGAUUGGCUCGCGUGACAUUAGCUGGAUGGUAAGGUAACGGCUUACCAUGGCUAUGAUGUCUAGGGGUUCUGAGAGGAAGGUCCCCCACACUGGAACUGAGACACGGUCCAGACUCCUACGGGAGGCAGCAGUGAGGAAUAUUGGACAAUGGAUGGAAAUCUGAUCCAGCCAUGCCGCGUAGAAGGAAGAAGGUCCUAUGGAUUGUAAACUUCUUUUGUAUGGGAGCAAUAAGGCCUACGAGUAGGUUGAUGAGAGUACCAUACGAAUAAGCACCGGCUAACUCCGUGCCAGCAGCGGC
RNAcentral lists this ribosomal RNA (509 nucleotides) under uncultured bacterium. RNAcentral describes it as "bacterial SSU rRNA". It matches the Rfam family "Bacterial small subunit ribosomal RNA", at positions 17 to 518 of the family's 1533-position model. The record is from RNAcentral.